Molecule: ribosomal RNA, 427 nt
Filed under: uncultured beta proteobacterium
Lineage: Bacteria; Pseudomonadati; Pseudomonadota; Betaproteobacteria
Description: bacterial SSU rRNA
Rfam family: Bacterial small subunit ribosomal RNA
Source: RNAcentral
UGGGGAAUUUUGGACAAUGGGCGAAAGCCUGAUCCAGCCAUGCCGCGUGAGUGAAGAAGGCCUUCGGGUUGUAAAGCUCUUUUAGUCGGAAAGAAAGAGUUGCAAUGAAUAAUUGUGAUUUAUGACGGUACCGACAGAAAAAGCACCGGCUAACUACGUGCCAGCAGCCGCGGUAAUACGUAGGGUGCGAGCGCUAAUCGGAAUUACUGGGCGUAAAGGGUGCGCAGGCGGUCUUGCAAGUCAGAUGUGAAAGCCCCGGGCUUAACCUGGGAAUUGCGUUUGAAACUACAAGACUAGAGUGCAGCAGAGGGGAGUGGAAUUCCAUGUGUAGCUGUGAAAUGCGUAGAGAUGUGGAAGAACACCGAUGGCGAAGGCAGCUCCCUGGGUUGACACUGACGCUCAUGCACGAAAGCGUGGGGAGCAAACA